Molecule: non-coding RNA, 373 nt
Organism: Peromyscus maniculatus bairdii (prairie deer mouse)
Lineage: Eukaryota; Metazoa; Chordata; Mammalia; Rodentia; Cricetidae
Source: RefSeq, a predicted model, not a curated record
UCAUGGAACUUUGACACCUCAAAAAUAUAAGAAAGCAGAUUGAAAAUCUAAAGAAUUUCACUGAUCACCCAAAGAAUGUUUUCUGAAGUUUGAUCCAUAGUAGUCUUUCUUUUGUGAAAUUUAACCUAAAUUCCAGACAUUCCAUACUGUCAUUCGGAAGAGCAACUGAAGAGUGAUUUUAAACAAUUGUAUUGACACACUCCAGGAAAGCACAGAGAAGGACUUCCCCUGCAGCUUGUGCCAACACAUCCUACUCAUGAAAUGUUUCUAGAAGUCCCGAGUACUGAUUUAAAGAGCAAUGAAAGCCAGCCCACAUUAGACUGACUUUCCAGUUUAAAUGUCAUUCGUUGCUGCUCCUGCUCCUCUAACUCUA